AAGGUAUAAAAGGUAGGCACGACUGGUAAUACAGUUUUCCUGCCCUAAUUUUCCUGCGUGUUAAGUUUCCGAGAAAGGAGAAAGAGAGGUUCCAGACAUGGAAGUGGCGAUGGCUGCACCAGAUACUGAAGUGGAAGUAGCUUCGUCUUCUCAGAUGAAGGAAGCAUUGAUGGAUUCCAAAAUGGAAGUCUUGCAGGAAAAUUAUACACGGUAACUUGUAUCUCUGCCCAUAGGGAAAAAGUAUUAGCAAAUGUAUUGAACCACACACUUUGUUACUAUGUGAAAGAUCCCAUUGAAGGUUUUGAA
Cucurbita moschata (crookneck pumpkin) is the source of this 306-nucleotide long non-coding RNA. RefSeq lists it as uncharacterized. NCBI's taxonomy places the organism in Eukaryota, Viridiplantae, Streptophyta, Magnoliopsida, Cucurbitales, Cucurbitaceae. The record is from RefSeq and is a predicted model, not a curated record. The transcript is spliced from 2 exons.